This 292-nucleotide ribosomal RNA is filed under the name uncultured Flavobacterium sp. RNAcentral describes it as "partial 16S ribosomal RNA". It matches the Rfam family "Bacterial small subunit ribosomal RNA", at positions 505 to 796 of the family's 1533-position model. The record is from RNAcentral. Lineage: Bacteria; Pseudomonadati; Bacteroidota; Flavobacteriia; Flavobacteriales; Flavobacteriaceae.
GUGUCAGCCGCCGCGGUAAUACGGAGGAUCCAAGCGUUAUCCGGAAUCAUUGGGUUUAAAGGGUCCGUAGGCGGUUUAGUAAGUCAGUGGUGAAAGCCCAUCGCUCAACGAUGGAACGGCCAUUGAUACUGCUAGACUUGAAUUACUAGGAAGUAACUAGAAUAUGUAGUGUAGCGGUGAAAUGCUUAGAUAUUACAUGGAAUACCAAUUGCGAAGGCAGGUUACUACUAGUGGAUUGACGCUGAUGGACGAAAGCGUGGGGAGCGAACAGGAUUAGAAACCCCAGUAGUCC